Molecule: small RNA, 68 nt
Filed under: Paenisporosarcina sp. OV554
Lineage: Bacteria; Bacillati; Bacillota; Bacilli; Caryophanales; Caryophanaceae
Description: Bacillus-plasmid RNA
Rfam family: Bacillus-plasmid RNA (bases 1-61)
Source: RNAcentral
AGUGUCAACGGUAAAUGUCUGACUGGAACGAUAGUGGAAGGAAUUUAAGGAGUUGAUACGUGCGUGCG